AGCAACCAAUAGGUAGAACUUUAUUGACCUUUUAGGAGAUCUUUCUCCAGACAAAAUACUUAUGCCUUUUUUUCUGCUUGAAGUUGAUAGGAGGAGGUGUUCCACAGCAGAUCAGAUAUUCAGUCAAGCUGAUGGAGAAGCCAUGCCAGAGAAAGCAAAAAAUAAGAUGUCAGCAGCUGGAAGUAGCUGAUGUCAUUCUUGCUUCUUACUUCCACAACUCUGAACUUCUGUUUUCUGUGGAAUCUUCUACACACUGGACACAGUGACAAUGUACUCUGUUGCUGUCACUGGGAUGAAGACUGGUGCACUUUCAUCAGUGAGAAAUUCAGGAAAAGUCUGUAUCUCCAAUAUAUAAUAAGAGCAAUUAAAAUCAACAUUUGUCCAUACACAGUGCACAUACACGAGCUGCAUCAGCAGAUUCAAGUCAGAGCCUGUGUCAGAUUCAAGUCUGAGUCUAUGUAUGUGCUCAUCUGUAUGGAAGGAGGUAGGAGAUGAGGAUUUUUGUGUUAGAAGAAGGAGACAAAAAUACAGACAGAUAUGGAUGCAUCUAUUCAAUGUCCACUUUCUGUUCUUUGGUAAUUACAUUGACUACUAAAAUAUUAGGUUCGUGGAACCGCAAACUGUUGAUAAUUUUCUGUAGAAUACAAAAAAGGUCACCCCAAAUGUAUGAAUUAGUACAUAGUGAUUUUUCAUGCUUUGUGUAAUUUUGAUUUUCACAGUAAAAUUCACUCUUCUUUUCUGGUUAUUAACAUAUCUACACACUAUUUAGUUAUAUAUACUCUCACAAAGUUUGUGUGUAUUUAGGGAGCAGAUGCAAAGCUUUUUAAUAGACUCACAGUAACCAUGUGACUGCCGUUGAGUUGUACAAUAAUGACUAUAUACUUUAAAGAUUUGCACCACAGCCAAAACAUGUCUGCUUGCAUUCCUCAUUUCACUUAAGUGGCUUUUUGUAUGAAAAGGUUUUGUUUGUAUUUCUACAGUUGUUAAAAAAGGAGCUACAUGCAAAGAAAGAGCCCCUAAAAAGCAAUGGAAAAGGUCUUGAAAAGACCACUGCCACCUGUUUUAGUUCAGAUAUUAAACUAAUGUUUAAAAUAUUUAACAAGCCUUUAGAAUUUAACAUUGCCAGUUCACAGCUCAUGACUGUGGAGGCAAACCUUUCUUAAAGCAAGAGGACUCCAAGAAACCAACUACAUACAGUAACCAUUUAAAAAAAACAAACUUGCAAGACCAAGAUUUUAUGUCUUCAUUCAUGGAUUCUCUAUAGUGAAACUGGAGCAAUGUCAUCCACCAGAAUUUUCUCAAUUUUUUUACUUGUUACUGUAAAAUUUGUUGUACAGUUGCUGUUGAAUUACCUCAGGAAUCUCAAAUUCAAAUAUACUGGAGAAGUGUGAAUGCUGUCAUAAACUAAUCCUGUCCAUUUACAAAGGAUUUUUUAAAUAACUUCAGUCAGUGGAUAUUUUUUCUAUAACUCUAAAUGUGUUGCUUUCAGUUUAAU
RNAcentral lists this long non-coding RNA (1495 nucleotides) under Coturnix japonica (Japanese quail). RNAcentral's name for it is "lncRNA (ENSCJPG00005019454.1)". Lineage: Eukaryota; Metazoa; Chordata; Aves; Galliformes; Phasianidae. The record is from RNAcentral.